Molecule: long non-coding RNA, 722 nt
Organism: Pectinophora gossypiella (pink bollworm)
Lineage: Eukaryota; Metazoa; Arthropoda; Insecta; Lepidoptera; Gelechiidae
Exons: 2
Source: RefSeq, a predicted model, not a curated record
AAUAGACCGCUGACCGGGUACGGUCAGAAAAGUAAUACUACUUAGUUUAAUUUAAUAAUUUUAAGUUGUUACUUUAUAGAAUAUGUAUUUUUAUAAUGUAGGUAAGUAUUUAUUAUCUCUAACGUACAUAUUAUUUUAGGUUUAAAUUAGUUCUAAGUUUUAUUAAUGUAAGUAAAAAACAGUAACGUAUUUUACGUUACAAUAUCUAGGACACUUUGUGACCGACGACCUUAGGGACCAAGCGGACAUUGAGAGGGAGCGCAGGGUGAUGGCGGUCCGAUGUAACAUGCUGGUUCGUAGGUUCGCACGCUGUAGUGAACUAGUCAAAAUUACGCUUUUUAAAGCGUACUGUCAGGUUUUCUACACGUGUGGCCUUUGGACCAGCUACACGCAGAAGGCCGUCAACGCCCUGCGCGUCCAGUACAAUAAUGGCUUUAGGAUGCUGUUGGGGCUGCCUCGCUUCUGCAGCGCAUCUGGCAUGUUUGCGCAGAUGCACACCGACGACUUUUUCGCGUUAAUACGCAAAAAAUCUGCCUCGUUGCUCUGCAGGGUGCGGGCCAGCUCCAACUCCAUCCUGAAAACUAUCGCGGCCAGGUAUGACUCCCCAAUUAUGAGGCACUGGGCCAAAAUACUCGUAAAAAGGAACGAAAUUUUAUGAUGUUUUUUCUACCACCUACGCUACUAACAUUAUCUUUUAAGUUUUAUUCAUGUUACUAACCAAU